CAAAAGAUUCGUCUUUAUGCCUAGAUUUAUACCCGAACCCUUAUCGAAUUCGAGUGUCCUCGUCUAGGUAGCCAUACAUACUAGUUUUUCUGGGAACCAUGGCUCU
RNAcentral lists this ribosomal RNA (106 nucleotides) under Sargassum muticum. The record is from RNAcentral. Lineage: Eukaryota; Phaeophyceae; Fucales; Sargassaceae.